This is a long non-coding RNA of Clarias gariepinus (North African catfish), 255 nucleotides long. RefSeq lists it as uncharacterized. The record is from RefSeq and is a predicted model, not a curated record. The transcript is spliced from 3 exons. Lineage: Eukaryota; Metazoa; Chordata; Actinopteri; Siluriformes; Clariidae.
CUAACGGCAGCUCCGUCUUGGGGAUACACUUAGUGCCUCCUAUGAUGAUCCUCCACUGAGAGGCGGAGACAGAGAGCACUUCGAGCAGGUGUCGACGGAAACCCUCGAGCUGAGAGAGGCCGAUCCUGAGGACGUACAAAUCACUUAUGGAACGGCGUCUCGUAAACCUACGACAACAACAACAACAACACAGGUUAUUAUUCAUCACCUGACUGUUGGCACCAUGAGGACGGAGGCGCCGCUCUGUGCAGCUCA